UUUCUUUCUUAAUUAAACCACUCUAUCUAGUAGUAUAGUAUUGUGAAUGUAUUUUGAAAGAUAGAGAAUAUAUUUCCUCAUCUACUUUUUAGUACUUAAUUUGGCUAAACUAUUUUUGUUCUAGGGAAACAAUAAUAAUUUCUAUUUUAAUUUUUUCCUCUUACAAAUUUAAGGAUCUAUCUUGUUGGUGUACGUUGUGG
RNAcentral lists this long non-coding RNA (200 nucleotides) under Trifolium pratense (red clover). RNAcentral's name for it is "long non-coding RNA (TPRA_LNC012779)". Lineage: Eukaryota; Viridiplantae; Streptophyta; Magnoliopsida; Fabales; Fabaceae. The record is from RNAcentral.